GGGCCCAUGGCGCAACGGUAGCGCACCUCGUUUGCAACGAGGGGGUUAGGAGUUCGAAUCUCCUUGGGUCCACAA
Molecule: transfer RNA, 75 nt
Filed under: Candidatus Gottesmanbacteria bacterium RIFCSPLOWO2_01_FULL_46_9
Lineage: Bacteria; Candidatus Gottesmaniibacteriota
Description: tRNA-Ala
Rfam family: tRNA
About the family: Transfer RNA (tRNA) molecules are approximately 80 nucleotides in length. Their secondary structure includes four short double-helical elements and three loops (D, anti-codon, and T loops). Further hydrogen bonds mediate the characteristic L-shaped molecular structure. tRNAs have two regions of fundamental functional importance: the anti-codon, which is responsible for specific mRNA codon recognition, and the 3' end, to which the tRNAs corresponding amino acid is attached (by aminoacyl-tRNA synthetases). tRNAs cope with the degeneracy of the genetic code in two manners: having more than one tRNA (with a specific anti-codon) for a particular amino acid; and 'wobble' base-pairing, i.e. permitting non-standard base-pairing at the 3rd anti-codon position.
Source: RNAcentral